CCUACGGGUGGCAGCAGUCGAGAAUCAUUCACAAUGGGGGAAACCCUGAUGGUGCGACGCCGCGUGGGGGAAUGAAGGUCUUCGGAUUGUAAACCCCUGUCAUGUGGGAGCAAAUUAAAAAGAUAGUACCACAAGAGGAAGAGACGGCUAACUCUGUGCCAGCAGCCGCGGUAAUACAGAGGUCUCAAGCGUUGUUCGGAAUCACUGGGCGUAAAGCGUGCGUAGGCUGUUUCGUAAGUCGGGUGUGAAAGGCGCGGGCUCAACCCGCGGACGGCACAUGAUACUGCGAGACUAGAGUAAGGGAGGGGGAACCGGAAUUCUCGGUGUAGCAGUGAAAUGCGUAGAUAUCGAGAGGAACACUCGUGGCGAAGGCGGGUUCCUGGACAUUAACUGACGCUGAGGCACGAAGGCCAGGGGAGCGAAAGGGAUUAGAUACCCCAGUAGUC
Molecule: ribosomal RNA, 446 nt
Filed under: uncultured bacterium
Lineage: Bacteria
Description: partial 16S ribosomal RNA
Rfam family: Bacterial small subunit ribosomal RNA
Source: RNAcentral